AGAACGAACGCUGGCGGCAGGCCUAACACAUGCAAGUCGAACGAGAUCUUCGGAUCCUAGGUGGCGGACGGGUGAGUAACGCGUGGGAACGUGCCCUUCUCUACGGAAUAGUCCUGGGAAACUGGGUUUAAUACCGGUAUACGCCUUCGGGGAAAGAAUUUCGGGAGGAUCGGCCCGCGUUGGAUUAGGUAGUUAGGUGGGGGUAAUGGGCCUACCAAGCCGACGAUCCAUAGCUGGUUUGAGAGGAUGAUCAGCCACACUGGGACUGAGACACGGCCCAGACUCCUACGGGAGGCAGCAGUGGGGAAUCUUAGACAA
RNAcentral lists this ribosomal RNA (318 nucleotides) under uncultured bacterium. RNAcentral's name for it is "bacterial SSU rRNA". It matches the Rfam family "Bacterial small subunit ribosomal RNA", at positions 26 to 371 of the family's 1533-position model. The record is from RNAcentral.